RNAcentral lists this unclassified non-coding RNA (580 nucleotides) under Hevea brasiliensis (rubber tree). Lineage: Eukaryota; Viridiplantae; Streptophyta; Magnoliopsida; Malpighiales; Euphorbiaceae. The record is from RNAcentral.
GAGUUUUGAUUGAUAAAAAUUUAACAAUUUUAUGGACCAGGGAGGCGACUGGCGGUGGACCAGCUUUAGCAAUCGACUUCCCCAAGAUGUUAUUUGUCAUAUUGCAGCAGGUCUGCCACCGUUUAAUUGUUUAGAUGAAGAUGCUAUUUUCUGGGCACCUUCUUCUUUAAGUCCUUUUUCCUUCAAAACUGCAUAUCUUCAUUUGUUUCACGGAAAUGGUAAUAUCUCUUCCCCAAUUUGGGGAAAAUUUGGAGGUGGAUUAGGCGCCAAAGGGCAAGGAUGUUCUAUGGCUGAUUCUGAAUAAUGGUUUGUUAGCCAAUUUGGAGAAAUGCAGAAGGCAUUUUGGGUCUUUCCUUUCAUGUUCUUUGUGUUCUGCUGAUGUUGAGUCUCUUGGAUUUGAAGGCAGAAAAAACUAAGAAAUUUAGGAGAGAUUUAUAUUAGAACAAGUAGAAGAGAAGAAAACACAAUUUCAUUACUAAAACAGAGGAUUUACAUACAUACAUUCAAAGAUUUUUUCUUUAUUUUCUUCCUCAUUUUGUUAGUUCUCUCAGAACUCUUCUUUAACUCUCUGCACUCUCUC